AGCCAUAAGACUAUAUUUAUGGUUUAACCUGCCCAAUGUUAUAGAUGAAUGGCCGCGGUACUUUGACCGUGCUAAGGUAGCGUAAUCAGUUGGCUUUUAAAUGGAGUCAGGAAUGAAUGGAUUAACCGGGUUUAGCUGUCUCUAAGUUAUUAAAUUGAAUUUACUGUCUAAGUGAAAAAGCUUAGAACUAGAAAAGGGACGAGAAGACCCUUAGAAUUUUUUCUAAAAAUAGCGUGCUUCUUAAAUUAAGAAUUGCUUUUAAUGAUUUUGUUGGGGCGACAAAGAAAUAUGUAAAAACUUUCUUUUUUAAAACACGCCGAUUGUAUUAAGAAAGGAUAAAUUACCUGAGGGAUA
Molecule: ribosomal RNA, 354 nt
Filed under: Tritonia nilsodhneri
Lineage: Eukaryota; Metazoa; Mollusca; Gastropoda; Nudibranchia; Tritoniidae
Description: partial large subunit ribosomal RNA
Rfam family: Archaeal large subunit ribosomal RNA
Source: RNAcentral